UCAAGAAGAAGGCGGCGGCACCGGGUGGGGUUGUGGUUGCCGUUUGCGGUCGGCGUAACCUCACAUGAGCGGUGGGGCAGGGCAGCCGAAGGAGCCGCGUUUCUUUUUUCCUUCUACUCGAAGAGCAUUGCCGCUCUCCGACUCACCACGUUCGAAAACAUAGACGUACUCAGCGACGUGCUGCCCCCACGGCAGUUAAGCAAGCAGCUUGUGCCACGCAGCCACUAGACACGAUGAUCUCCGAUGAAGGCUUCCUGUCUGCCCUGUCGCUCGGCGGAGGCGAACAGCGACCCUCUCCGUUCCCUUCUGCCAUUCCACUCAGUGGAACUCCGUCUCCCGUGCGCGACGCGUCGGCGCUGUUGUCGUACACGGAAGCGAUGACGCCGAACUUGUACAGCGCGCUAAGUGCCUCUGCCACAUAUCCGUCCGCGUACCUGUCAGACCCCUACAUCUCGAGUGCCGCGUCCGCAUCGCAUGCCGUACCCCCGCCACUGUCGUCCAACCCCUACACAUACGGCAGCUGGACGGCACCGGCGCCGCCUCUGCGCUCAGCAGUAGCAGCAGGGCCGUCGGCCGAGGCAGAAGCACGUGCAGCGCUUAGCGAGGCGGAGCGGCAGCGUCAAAUCCUGCAGCUGGAGCGAGAGCUUGCCGAGGAGCAGCGGCAGCGGUUGGAAGCCCGCUUGUCGCCGUUGUCCUCGUCUGCCGCACGGCUCUCUGUAUCGGUGCCGUGUGGUCGAACCCCUUCCUCGGAGGCUGCGGGCGACGCAUCACGUUACGGCGGGUCGGAGGCGUCUUCUUCACCGCCACCCGAAUGCGCCCACGAUGAGGUCGGCGAGGAGUUGCGAGCCUUUUCGAUGGAGGCACCAGCGCCUCCCAGCUCUCCGUCACCGCCAUCGGCACAUGUGCAGGCCCGCCUCUAUGUGCGGGGGGCAAAUGGCGGCGUGGACGCUUGUGGGCCUCCUGCCGCCGCCAGCAAGAGGCCGCAGGAGCAACCCGCCGAGCCCAGCGCGCCUCCAUCGCCCUUCUUGGCGACACCAGCGGCUGCCGCCAAUGGCUUAGCUAAAGGCUCAGCAGUGUCGCCUCAACCGCACCCAUCCAAGACCCCAAGCCCUCAGCGUUCGUCUCCGCAGCCGUGCACCCCCCCAAAGGAAGCAGCUCCGUCGCUCUCUACAAGCGAGCAGUGUGCUUCGGCGCCCAUAACGCGUGCUGGGGCCUCGUCGCCUUCUCCACAACGGGCGCUUGUGCGGUCAGAGGAGCGCCGUACUUCACAGCGACCCGCACCGUCGCCGCCGCCCUCUGAAGGGGACGGAUCACGAGCAUCACCGCGCAAGCCGAAUUCUGCACAGCGCGCGGUGACCGACAUGCACGAGGACGAGGAGCAGCGCCUGUACGAAGCCUACAAGCAGAAGCUAGCUCGCAUUCAAGAAGCGCUGCGCCCACCCAGCGGCACUGGUGUGCUAUGCGCAACAGCGUCCUUCGAAGCCUGCCGUGCGCAUCAGCGACGCUACCGUCUCACUACCCCGGCCCUCUGGUCAAGCACGCCGCCGGCACUACCGUCGUCGUCUCCUCCGUUGCGUACCACUGGCGAGCUUCCGCUAGUGCGGCGAGCGCCCUCUACAGGGUCGUAUGCCGACCCGGUCGCGCCCCUUUCGUGUGGGCGUCAGCGGCAACUUCGCUGGGAUAUCGCACACAGCGGAAACAUCGUCGUCUCGAGCGACGGAUAUGUCUGUAAAGCGGACGCCACGGACGCGCUGGCACUGAUCGAGCGGGAGUACGAGGGACGUCUUGAAGACGUGCUGCAGCGUCUGGUUAUCCCCUUCUACGCGAUGGGCAACCUCGGCCUGACGCGCGGCUCUCUGACCUUCGCGUUUCGCUGGGAAUCGCCGACGACGAUGCAUCGCGCCUCGGGGCGGCAGCGGCGCGGCCGUGGAGGCGGCGGUGGUAGGGUGCGCCGCGCACCCGCACUGGCGUUCGGAUUCGCCACCCGCGCCUUCACAGGUUACGGGACGGAGGCACCCGCGUUUCUGUACCUGUCGACCGGGGCAAUCGCGCAGGGGGUGAGCACUACCACCUCCGCUGGCGCAGAACGCCCCUACGGUGCCCCGUACGCGCCGGGAUCGGAGCUGGCUGCACGACUGGACCUGGAGCACGGGGAGCUGGAGUUUUACGUAGAGGGUGUCUCCAUGGGCGUCGCAUUUCGCUUCUGCCCCGCUCGUCACCCCGCACCACUCUUUCCAGUGGCCGUCUUCUCCGCCGAGAUGGAUUUGGCUGAGCUUCUGUACUCUGCCUGAGUGUGCGCGCGCAGUUGGAACUCCUCAACCCCGCUUUACCCUCCUCCCCAUCUUGAUCGUAGACGAUGGCGCGCACACAUACGCGUAGGAGGCGGAGGUGAGGUGGGCACGCUCAUGAGAUGUGAUGAUGGCUGACCUUGUGUAUGCGCGCUGGCGCUUUUGAUCACGCAAGGAAAGUCGCUUCGGUGCUGCUGUUUCGGCUAGAGUAGAUGCGCACACAAUGCUAGACGGAGGCGGCUCAUCUUCCCUCUCUUUCCUGAUUGCCUUUUAGACACAUGGCGCGCUUGUUCGUUUUUUUUUCAUUUUUUUUUGUUCUCGUUUCUGUCAACCGCUACCCGUCGACCUCUCUCUCUGUCGAGGGCGCCC
RNAcentral lists this unclassified non-coding RNA (2657 nucleotides) under Leishmania donovani. RNAcentral's name for it is "gene:LdHU3.25.0410(CDS-product:hypothetical_prote in_conserved)". The record is from RNAcentral. Lineage: Eukaryota; Euglenozoa; Kinetoplastea; Trypanosomatida; Trypanosomatidae.